GAUGAACGCUGGCGGCGUGCCUAAUACAUGCAAGUCGAACGAACAGACGAUGAGCUUGCUCCUUUGACGUUAGCGGCGGACGGGUGAGUAACAAGUGGAUAACCAACCUAUAAGACUGGGAUAACUUCGGGAAACCGGAGCUAAUACCGGAUAAUAUAUUGAACCGCAUGGUUCAAUAGUGAAUGACGGCUUUGCUGACACUUAUAGAUGGAUCCGCGCCGCAUUAGCUAGUUGGUAAGGUAACGGCUUAACAAGGCAACGAUGCGUAGCCGACCUGAGAGGGUGGUCCGCCACACUGGAACUGAGACACGGUCCAGACUCCUACGGGAGGCAGCAGUAGGGAAUCUUCCGAAAUGGGCGAAAGCCUGACGGAGCAACGCCGCGUGAGUGAAGAAGGUCUUCGGGUCGUAAAACUCUGUUAUUAGGGAAGAACAAAUGUGUAAGUAACUAUGCACGUCUUGACGGUACCUAAUCAAAAAGCCACGGCUAACUACGUG
RNAcentral lists this ribosomal RNA (497 nucleotides) under uncultured bacterium. Its description in RNAcentral is "partial 16S ribosomal RNA". It matches the Rfam family "Bacterial small subunit ribosomal RNA", at positions 28 to 507 of the family's 1533-position model. The record is from RNAcentral.